This 292-nucleotide ribosomal RNA is filed under the name uncultured bacterium. Its description in RNAcentral is "partial 16S ribosomal RNA". It matches the Rfam family "Bacterial small subunit ribosomal RNA", at positions 505 to 796 of the family's 1533-position model. The record is from RNAcentral.
GUGUCAGCCGCCGCGGUAAUACGUAGGUGGCGAGCGUUGUCCGGAAUUAUUGGGCGUAAAGGGCGCGUAGGCGGUUACUUAAGUCAGGUGUGAAAGCCCCCGGCUCAACUGGGGAGCGUCAUUUGAUACUGGGUAACUAGAGUGCAGGAGAGGAAAGUGGAAUUCCAUGUGUAGCGGUGAAAUGCGUAGAUAUAUGGAGGAACACCAGUGGCGAAGGCGGCUUUCUGGACUGCAACUGACGCUGAGGCGCGAAAGCUGGGGGAGCGAACGGGAUUAGAUACCCCUGUAGUCC